CCUACGGGCGGCAGCAGUGAGGAAUAUUGGUCAAUGGGCGCGAGCCUGAACCAGCCAAGUAGCGUGAAGGAUGACUGCCCUACGGGUUGUAAACUUCUUUUAUAAAGGAAUAAAGUGAGGCACGUGUGCCUUUUUGUAUGUACUUUAUGAAUAAGGAUCGGCUAACUCCGUGCCAGCAGCCGCGGUAAGACGGAGGAUCCGAGCGUUAUCCGGAUUUAUUGGGUUUAAAGGGAGCGUAGAUGGGUUGUUAAGUCAGUUGUGAAAGUUUGCGGCUCAACCGUAAAAUUGCAAUUGAUACUGGAAGACUUGAGUACAGUAGAGGUAGGCGGAAUUCGUGGUGUAGCGGUGAAAUGCUUAGAUAUAACGAAGAACACCGAUUGCGAAGGCAGCUUACUAAACUGCAACUGACAUUGAUGCUCGAAAGUGUGGGUAUCAAACAGGAUUAGAUACCCUGGUAGUC
RNAcentral lists this ribosomal RNA (460 nucleotides) under uncultured bacterium. RNAcentral's name for it is "partial 16S ribosomal RNA". It matches the Rfam family "Bacterial small subunit ribosomal RNA", at positions 338 to 795 of the family's 1533-position model. The record is from RNAcentral.